GCUAAUUCCUCGCAGCACGCAGGGGAUGUGGCCGCAGUCCCACCCCCAGUCCCACCCCCACCAGGCCCAGCCCCCGUGGGGACCGGCAGCUCCCGGCCCAGCCCAGGGCCCCCAAAGCACAGGGGGAGCAGGAGCUCUCCCGGGCCUGACAGACUCUGCCGUGCAAAAGCCCGGCUCAGGACGGGGUUGCAAAGAAGGGCGCGAGAGGAAAAGCCCGCUCCGGACACUGCGCUCCAACCAGGAGGAGCUGGAGGAGGAGGAGGAUGAACAAAAUGGCCGCCGCCACCAGCCAGGCAGGAAACGGGGCAGAGCGCAGGCGCGGCCCGCCAGGUCACCGCUCAGGCCAGCCGCGACGGCCUGAAAAAGCGGAGAACUGAGUGGGGAACAAAAGGGGCCACUGAGGAAACCUCGUGCCCGGUCACGACGGAUCACGUCGUCGUUACUCGCCGGCUGGCUAGCGAAACCCAGCCAGCUCAAGAAGAACUCGAGAAAAAAGAGAACCGCCGUAAAACUGAAGUCUCUGGGAAUUGUGGUCCUGGAAAUGAGAGAGGUAAGCACUUCCCCGGAGGACUUCUGGGAACUGUAGUCCUGAGGAGCCGGAGCCGCUCUGGGAAGCGAAGAAGAGACUUCUGGGUAGUGUAGUCGUACGUGAGACGUGCGGCGACCAGGAAGUCGGCGUGCUGGGAGGGGAGGGAGAGAAUAAAAGCGACGUUGAAAGGCAGGGAAUCGAGCUGGGAAAAAGCGGCGUCGGAGAAGUAGACUGCAAGUCCCAUAGUGCCUCGCGCUGGGGGCUGUCCUAGGACUGCUUCAGGCAUUUUAAGACUCUUCUGUUGGCUCAGCGUGGGCUGCUGCUCCGCCUCUGUCCAGCCCAAGAGCGGUAUCUUCAACUGCGGCUAAUUCCGUGCUCUGGCUCCGCGUGGCGUCCAAGCCCGCAGGCCUUUCUGGCCCUCCUCUAUUCAUCAAAACCGCCCGCCCGCGGUCGCCAACUGCCGCCCCGCGCGACGGGCGGAGGGGCUGGGGGGUUCCUCCGGCCCAGCGCUGAGCUGGAAGCUGCGCUCGCCGGGGCCCCUCCGGCUUUCUCAACAGCCCGCCGAUUCCUCCUCUGGGCUUGUUUUCCCGCAAAUAGGUAUUCUACCCUGGGUAGACGGCUUCUUCAUUCGUUAUCUCAUCGGAUAAGGGGGUCAAAAGAGCAGCCCUCCACUAAAAUGACUCAUCGAGUUGGUGUAAAGAGGGCGAUAAUGCCCUUCUGCCCCUCAUUUAGUUAUUAGAGUGAGUCUUUGGGCAGAGACGUGCACAGACUUAAGGCUGUGUUUACAGACAUCCAUCCAUCCAUCAUAUGGACGGGGAAUGAAGUCUUGCUCGAGUAUGUGGGAAACCCCGUUCAAACUGGCUACGUAACCUUGUAGAAUUUGUUUUUUUCACCGGCGGCAGUUCACCCUACGCUCCCACUCCUUCACCCCACCCCCAAGCGUCUUUGGGAGAAUGCUUUUGAGCUCGUACCCCCUCUUGUAGGUUAGUGAAGUGAAGGAUUAUAACGGCGAAGAAAGAUUUUUCAUCCUGUUGCCAGAGCUAGAAGGUCCCAGGUAAACUGUGCCUUGAGAGUUGGUUUUAUAAACACUACCACUGACUCCUAAUCCUGUGAUGGGGGUCAACCGUGCAGCAAAAACGUUGUAAUGUCAAUAUGGGGAGGAAGAAGUGGGGGGUUCAACCUGGAAGGCUUCAUAAGACCUUGAGAAGAGAGUUGAGCCCCCUGAGUCAAUGGGAACGUCAAGGGGCACCGAGGCCAGGACCCAUGGGUAAAAAAAGUGUAUGGGUUUGGUGGGGGGAGAAGUGGGGGAAGGCAUGGAGUAGGAAUCUGGAGAGCUAAGUUAGAAAGGUGGGCAACGGUUUUAUAGCACCAUGUUGUUAAAGAUGGGUACCAGGCUGAGGAGUUUGGGGCUUUGUCUCCCAAUCAAUGAGGAGCUAUUCAGAGGUUUUAUUUUUUUUAAUUGAACCGACGUCCAGAGCUGUAACCAUCAUCAUCCAAUUCAUCAUUGAUCCACGCCCACUGUGUUAAUUUCCUAUUGUUGCUGCCACAAACUUAGGGACUUAAAACAGGACUAUAUUGGGAGUUCCCAUCGCGGCUCAGUGGUAAACAAAUCCGACUAGGAACCAUGAGGUUGCGGGUUCGAUCCCUGGCCUUGCUCAGUGGGUUAAGGAUCCGGUGUUGCCGUGAUCCUAGCUGUGGCUCUGGCAUAGGCUGGUGGCUACAGCUCCGAUUGGACCCCUAGCCUGGGAACCUCCAUAUGCCAUGGGAGCGGCCCAAGAAAUGGCAAUAAGACAAAAAAUAAUAAAAUAAAAUAAAAAAACAAAAAAAAACAGGACUAUAUUAUUUUAGAGUUCUGGAGGUCAGAAGUAUGAAAUUAGUUUCACUGAACUAAAACCAAGAUGUUGGCAGGGCUGGUUCCUUCUAAAGUCUUUGGGAGAAUGGGCUUCUUGCCUUUUCCAGCUUCUAGAAACCGUCUGCAUUCCCAUCAUCUUCAAAAACAGCAGCAUGGCAUCUUCUUUCCUCUCUGACCUUUCUGCCUCUCUCUCUGUGACUGAUCCUCCUUCCUCCCUCUUUGACUUCAUGAGGACCCUUUGUGAUCACAUGGGGCCAGGAUAACGUCCCAUUUCUCUGAGACAUUCAAUCAUGUUAGCAAAACCCCUUUUACCAUAACCUAAUGAGUACACUGGUUCUGGGGAUUAGAGCAUAGACAUCUUGGGGGGGGGUGUCAUUAUUCAGUCUACCACUCCUGCCUUCAUUUAGUUUGUUACUUUUUUAAAAAUGCAAUAAUAGCUGUGAGCCCUCCACCCUAAAAAAAAAGUUCUUAGGGACGCAGUUUAGUCUAACUCUUGGGUUUGCUCACACACACACUCUCUCAUCCUCCUGCCUCCCCUCACCUGGGUUCACCAUCAUGCUGAAUUCUGAAUUUAGCAUUUCUUGUUUUUCUUUUUACAGAGUUUUAUUCUCUAUAUAUGUAUAUACAUAAUUUUUUCCCCAAAAAGUGUGUGUGUAUACACAUGUAUUUUUGAGGGGUUUUUUUGGUAUAAUAAAAAAAGGGUAUGUCCAUUACGUACUUAUUAGGAUGGCCAAAAUCCCAGACCCUGACACCACCAAAUGCUGGGGAGGAUAAAAAGCAACAGGUACUCUCAUUCCCUGCUGGUGGGAAUGCAAAAUGGUGUAACCACUUUGGAAAAUAUUUUGGCAGUUUCUUACAAAACUAGUCAUAGCUCCUAGGUAUCUCAAAUGAGUUGAAACUUAUGUUUGCACAAAAACCUGCACAUGAAUGUUUAUAGCAGGGUUUAUUUAUUUAUUUGGCCACACCCAUGGCAUGUGGAAGUUCCUGAGCCAGGGAUCAAACCCACGCUUCAGCUGCCACCUGCGUCACAGCCACAGCCAUGCCAGCUCCUUAACCAACUGCACCACUGGGGGACUUCCUAUAGCAGGUUUCUUAGUAACUCAAAAUUUGGAAGCAACCAAAAUGUCUUACAGUAAGUGAAUGGGCAAACUAGUACAUCCAGACAAUGGGCUAUUAUUUGGUGACAGAAAUAAAUGAACUAUAAAGCCACAAAAAGACAUAAAUGCACAUUGCCGAGUGGAAGAAACCAGUGUCAAAAGGCUACGAACUGUAUGAUUCCAACUGGGUGACAUGCUGGGAAAGACAAAAACUAUGGGAAAGGGGAAAAGAUGAAUGGUUGCUAGAGGUGGGGCUGCGUAGGUAGAGCACAGGGCAUUUUUACAGAGGUGAAACUACUCUGUGUGGUACUGUAAUGAUGGAUCCCAUAGAAUGUACAUCAUGAGUCCUAAUGUGAACUAUAGACAAUAAUGUAUCAACACUGGUCCAUCCUUUGCAACAAAUGCACCACAUAAAUGCAAGGUAGUAAUAACAAGAAAAACAGCAUGUGUGGUGGAGAGAGGAUGGCUUGGAACUUUAUCCUUUCUUUGUAAUUCUUCUGUAAACCUACAACUGCUCUAAAAGUCAAGUCUGUUUAAAGGGGAAAAAAUGCCUUUGCAUCUUUUUGGACUCUCUUCACCCUCCGUAACAUGCAGAAGAUUCAGCCAUAUUUUAUGUAUUUAGUUCAUUCAUUUUCACUAUUGUGUGCUAUUCCAGUGUGUGAUCAUAGCACACUUUGUCUGACUUCUCAUGAAUGGACAUUUGGGCUGCCUCCAGGUUUUUACUGUUGUGAGCAGUGCUGCUAUGAACAUUCCUGUACUCUUCUGUUACAGAUGUACAUGAGCUCUCUUUGGUUUAUUCAAGUCUGUACCUAAAAGUAGAAUUGUUGAGUCAUGGGGUAUGUGAGUAUUCAAUUUUAGAAGAUAACGUCAAACAUUUUUUCCAAAGUGGAUACCUGGAUUUGUGCUCCCAUUAGCAUCAUGUAGGAGGGCUUAUAAGGGGACCCACGUCCUCCUCAACACUUGCUUUUGUCAGACUUUUUACAUUUUUAUCAAUCAAAGUGUUAGCUCAGUGUGGUCUUAAUCAGUAAGAUUGAGCAUUUCUUCAUAUUUUAUUAGCUCUGUGUGUUCCCUCUUUUGAAAAAUGCCUGUUGGUAUCUUUUGCCUAUUUUUCUUUUGGGUUAUAUGUGCUUUUCUCAUUGAUUUUAAGGAAUUCUUAAAGCUAAUCUUGUGUACUGCAGUUAUCUUCUCCUAAUUUGUAACUUGCCGCUCUAAAUGCCUUUAAUGAAAAAAGUACUUAAUUUCUUUUUUUAGUACUUAAUUUUAAAGGGUCAAAUCUAUUUGCUGUGCAUGUGUAUCAUUUAAGAAAUAUUUCCCUACCUCAAGGUUUAAAUUACAGAUCUAGGUCUAAAUUAAGUAUCUAAAAGAUACUUAAUCCAGGAGUUCCCGUCGUGGCACAGUGGUUGACGAAUCCGACUAGGAACCAUGAGGUUGCGGGUUCGAUCCCUGGCCUUCCUCAGUGGGUUAACGAUCCGGCGUUGCCGUGAGCUGUGGUGUAGGUUGCAGACGCGGCUCGGAUCCCGCGUUGCUGUGGCUCUGGCAUAGGCCGGUGGCUACCGCUCCGAUUCGACCCCUAGCCUGGGAACCUCCAUGUGCCGCAGGAUCGGCCCAAGAAAUAGCAAAAAGACAAAAAAAAAAAAAAAAAAACAGAUACUUAAUCCAUAGAGUCUACUAAAAUUUUAAAACUUAGUGUUUGAAAUUUAAGUCAUUAAUCUACCUGGAGUUAAAUUUUAUACAAAUGUAGGGAUCCAAUUUCAUAUUUUUCCAUGUGCAUAACCAUUAUUUUUAAACUCCAUUUUUGAAUAGUUCCAUUCAAUCUUUCCCAAUUGAUCUGACAUGCUCCUCUUGUCUUUGUGUAGUCUGGGUCCUCUAAGAGGAUAGCAAGAUAGAAUUAGAUGUGCAAGAGAUGCAUUGAAAGGAAACUCUUGGGGAGGAUAAAAGGAGGAAAUAGGCAAGAAUCCACAAUACAGGCUGGACACUUGUGCAAAGAGGGAAAGGAGGAAGGAAGAUUGGCUAGAAAUUGUCUCCAACUUGGUGCAGCUCUAAGAAAACCUUGGGUAGGCCAUUGGGGACCCCCAGAGCAAAGGUUACCUAUUAGAGGAGUCCUAUGUCAUUCAGAAAUGGCCUGGCUGCUGCACCCCAACUGUCUCAGUCACUGGCUGAAAGCAGCUUUGGGAGAGAGCUUGCUCUCUGCAUGAACACUUCAGUGAAUAUAAAGUUACUGUCUUCUAAGCUGGACAAGAAAGGCCUGGAGGCUGUCCACUAACUGUACUCCCAACAGCAGGUUCUCUUGGAGGGGGAUCUGAGCAGGGCACCAGAGCCUUAUGCUAGAGUUUCAGAUACUCACAGGUUUUUUUUCUGGGCCCUCUAGUCUAUGCCUAUGUCAAUAAAAAGCUAUUAUCUUCAUAGGAGUUUGAAUCAUGGUAGAGUCAGUUAGCCUUCCUGCUUUUCUCUAGAAAUGUCCUGACUAUUCUUGGUCUUUUAUCCUUCCGUAUAUACUCAGAGGUUUUAAGCAGGGGAGUAAUAUCAGAUCUGUUCUGUAGCAGGAUGUGUGGAUUAUCAUAGGGAUGAGAGAUUUCAGGCUGAGAGGGCUUCUGGAACGUAAUUUCAAUAGUCCAGGUAAGAGAUAAGGAAUUACAAGUUGAGCGGAUUUAGGCAGUAACAGUGAAAAGAGACCAAGUUAUGGAUACAACAUAACAGAGAGGCAGAAGGGUGGGAGAAAGGGAAAACUGAGUUAACUCCCAUGUUAAUGGCUUGACUGUCUGCCCAGAUUAUGGGGUCUUUGAGUCAGGAAAUACAAGAAGAGGCAUUUGCACUUGCAAGGCUUUGCACUUGCUCAUCGUGAAUGUAUUUAAAGCUUCACAGUGUUCAAAUAGACAGGUCUAGAGCUUGUUUAGGGACCCAGACUGGCUUUGGGAGGAAUAAAUCUGUAGGUGCAACUGAAGUCUUAGGUGUGAGAAAGUGUCACCAGGGGAGGGAGUGGAAGACAGGAGGGUUGAGAAUCUGAGAGGACACUCACGCAUAUGGAAGAAUCAGAGGUAGAGAAACUACUUUUAAAAACCUGAUGAAGAAUAAUCAAAAGGAAAGUCUGCUCUCCAAAACCUGUUAGGAUGGCUAUUAUCAAAAAAUGCCAAAAACCGGAAACAAAAAAUAGCAAGUGUUGGCGACCAUGUGGAGAAAUUGGAACCCUUGUUGUGCACUGUCGAUGGGAACGUAAAAUGAUGCAGCCACUGUGGAGAAGGGUAUGGCAGUUCCUCAAAAUAAAAACAGAAUUACCAUAUGGCCCAGCAACUUCACUUUUGAAUAUAUAUCCCAGGAAUUGAAAGCAGGAUCUCAAAGAGACACUGUACACCCAUGUUCAAAGCAGUAUUAUUCACAGUAGCCAAAAAGUGGAGACAAGCCAAGUGUUCACUGAUGAAUGAAUGGAUAAACCAAAUGUAUAUAUGCAAUGGAAUAGUAUUCAGCUUUAAAAAGGAAGGGCGUUCUGACACAUGUACAACAUGGAUGAGCCUUAAAGAAAUCAUGCUAAGUGGAAUAAGCCAGUCACAAAGGACAAGUAUUGUAUGGUCCCACUUAUAUGACGUCCCUAGAAUAGUUAGAUUCAGAGGGAAAGAAGGUAGAAGGGUGGUGGCUGGGGGCUAGGGGAGGGGGUGGAGAGCUAUUUAAUGGGCAGAGGGGUUCGGGUUGGGAUGAUGGAAAAGUUCUGGUGAUGAAUGGUGCUGAUGGUGAGGGAUGGUUGCACAACAAUAUGUAAGCACUUAAUGCCACUGAGCUGUACACUUAAAAAUGGCUAAGAUGGUAAAUUUUAUGUGUAUUUUACCACAAUCUUUUACAAAGGAUCUGAGCGAUGGGGAGUUCCCUGGUGGUCUAGUGCUUAGGACUCAGCACUUUCACCUCUGUGGUCUGGGAAUGGAGAGUCUACAUCAAGCCACUGCAUGCCGGUGCCAAAAAAAAAAAAAAAAAAGUCCAAGAGAGAUUUAUUCAAGAUGAUGAUGAAAUGUAAUGAAUACUUAAUUUGUUUGAUCUCUUUUAAAGGAGAGCAAACAACUGAGGGAGAACUGGGGAAGGUGUUAAUCACAAGCACGUGGAAAACCACGUGAAGAGAAAAUAAGACAUUUACCAGCUCCUUAAAAGGAAACCUGUGUAGGAAAGGAGAAUUAUAUUGUAUUAUUUGGCUCAGCUGUGCAUAGCAUUUCCAUGGCCGUAAUAAUAAAAGCAUUGAAUAUUGAUGACAGGGAAUCUGCAUUUGUGCAGUAAAGGAGGGGUGAAAGAGAGAUAAAGCCUUUUAGAGUGGGAAGUCACUAGGUAAUACCUAAAAUUGAGGAACCAGGAAAUGGCAAUAAAGUCAAGCUAUUUAAAGAUAGGGAGGUAAAUACUAAAUAUUCAGUUGAGUUAAAAAUGAAUGAUUCUGGAAACAAGAAAUGGGAGAGUUUCCAGGAGGGAAUUUCUGGUUUUCCUCAUAGGCCCUAUAGAUUCUGAUUCUUUAAACUCUGUAUAUAGAUCUGAUAAAGAUUAGAAUUAAUCUAAAAAAAAAGAAAGCAUCACUGUAGUUGCUCUAGUGGAAAAACAUACCCUCCUCCACUCAUAGUAGGCUUCAGACCUGAGAGUGCCCUCUAAAUGAUUAAAGGCCCUACUUUUCGUAAAACCACACGAAACAAAUGGCAAAAAAAAAAAAA
Non-coding RNA from Sus scrofa (pig), 8151 nucleotides. NCBI's taxonomy places the organism in Eukaryota, Metazoa, Chordata, Mammalia, Artiodactyla, Suidae. The record is from RefSeq and is a predicted model, not a curated record.